RNAcentral lists this ribosomal RNA (345 nucleotides) under Triticum aestivum (bread wheat). Its description in RNAcentral is "partial small subunit ribosomal RNA". The record is from RNAcentral. Lineage: Eukaryota; Viridiplantae; Streptophyta; Magnoliopsida; Poales; Poaceae.
AUGCAUACGUGGUUGGUGACCUCGCGUGCCGCCAUUGCCGGAGGCUGGCUGGCUGGAUGGACGGGCGUCCGCGGUGCCGGUGUUUUGCAGCCUUACAUCUCAGGGAAGACGCUUGCUAAAAUGUGUGCAUGCCAAGAUUCCUGCGGUUCCAGACUGAUUGCUGGUGCGGAUGGGAGGUGGAUGCCCGCACGGAUCCGGCGUCUCCAACCUCGGCAUCCACAAGGAGGAGCGGCGACAAUUACAUACCCAACCAUGGGGCAGCAGCAAUUCAUGGUUGAGCCUCCCUCUACCUCUCUCACAUUCCCUGAUUUUGCUGCUGCUCUAAAUUCACUUUCACUUGAUUGA